RNAcentral lists this ribosomal RNA (450 nucleotides) under uncultured bacterium. RNAcentral describes it as "partial 16S ribosomal RNA". It matches the Rfam family "Bacterial small subunit ribosomal RNA", at positions 354 to 796 of the family's 1533-position model. The record is from RNAcentral.
GUGGGGAAUAUUGGACAAUGGGCGCAAGCCUGAUCCAGCCAUUCCGCGUGCAGGAUGAAGGCCUUCGGGUUGUAAACUGCUUUUGUACGGAACGAAAAGCCUCUGGUUAAUACCCGGGGGUCAUGACGGUACCGUAAGAAUAAGCACCGGCUAACUACGUGCCAGCAGCCGCGGUAAUACGUAGGGUGCGAGCGUUAAUCGGAAUUACUGGGCGUAAAGCGUGCGCAGGCGGCUAUGCAAGACAGAUGUGAAAUCCCCGGGCUCAACCUGGGAACUGCAUUUGUGACUGCAUGGCUAGAGUGCGUCAGAGGGGGAUGGAAUUCCGCGUGUAGCAGUGAAAUGCGUAGAUAUGCGGAGGAACACCGAUGGCGAAGGCAAUCCCCUGGGCCUGCACUGACGCUCAUGCACGAAAGCGUGGGGAGCAAACAGGAUUAGAUACCCUUGUAGUCC